This 465-nucleotide ribosomal RNA is filed under the name uncultured bacterium. Its description in RNAcentral is "partial 16S ribosomal RNA". It matches the Rfam family "Bacterial small subunit ribosomal RNA", at positions 28 to 507 of the family's 1533-position model. The record is from RNAcentral.
GACGAACGCUGGCGGCGUGCUUAACACAUGCAAGUCGAACGGAAAGGCCCCUUUGGGGGUACUCGAGUGGCGAACGGGUGAGUAACACGUGAGUAACCUGCCCUUGACUUCGGGAUAACUUCAGGAAACUGGGGCUAAUACCGGAUAGGAAUCCUUGCUGCAUGGCGGGGGUUGGAAAGCUUCGGCGGUUUUGGAUGGACUCGCGGCUUAUCAGCUUGUUGGUGGGGUAGUGGCUUACCAAGGCUUUGACGGGUAGCCGGCCUGAGAGGGCGACCGGCCACAUUGGGACUGAGAUACGGCCCAGACUCCUACGGGAGGCAGCAGUGGGGAAGAUUGAACAAUGGGCGGAAGCCUGAUGCAGCAACGCCGCGUGCGGGAUGACGGCCUUCGGGUUGUAAACCGCUUUCAGAAGGGGCGAAGCUUGUGGUGACGGUACCUGCAGAAGAAGCACCGGCUAACUACGUG